UAAACGCUGUCCGAGCAGGUGUCAGGUGUCC
This 31-nucleotide non-coding RNA is filed under the name Mus musculus (house mouse). Lineage: Eukaryota; Metazoa; Chordata; Mammalia; Rodentia; Muridae. The record is from RNAcentral.